RNAcentral lists this ribosomal RNA (542 nucleotides) under uncultured bacterium. Its description in RNAcentral is "bacterial SSU rRNA". It matches the Rfam family "Bacterial small subunit ribosomal RNA", at positions 9 to 533 of the family's 1533-position model. The record is from RNAcentral.
GAGUUUGAUCCUGGCUCAGGAUGAACGCUGGCGGCGUGCCUAAUACAUGCAAGUCGAGCGAACAGAUAAGGAGCUUGCUCCUUUGACGUUAGCGGCGGACGGGUGAGUAACACGUGGGUACCCUACCUAUAAGACUGGAAUAACUCCGGGAAACCGGGGCUAAUGCCGGAUAAUAUUUAGAACCGCAUGGUUCUAAAGUGAAAGAUGGUUUUGCUAUCACUUAUAGAUGGACCCGCGCCGUAUUAGCUAGUUGGUGGGGUAAUGGCUUACCAAGGCAACGAUACGUAGCCGACCUGAGAGGGUGAUCGGCCACACUGGAACUGAGACACGGUCCAGACUCCUACGGGAGGCAGCAGUAGGGAAUCUUCCGCAAUGGGCGAAAGCCUGACGGAGCAACGCCGCGUGAGUGAUGAAGGUCUUCGGAUCGUAAAACUCUGUUAUUAGGGAAGAACAAAUGUGUAAGUAACUGUGCACGUCUUGACGGUACCUAAUCAGAAAGCCACGGCUAACUACGUGCCAGCAGCCGCGGUAAUACGUAGGUG